RNAcentral lists this long non-coding RNA (718 nucleotides) under Heterocephalus glaber (naked mole-rat). Its description in RNAcentral is "lncRNA (ENSHGLG00000048101.1)". The record is from RNAcentral. Lineage: Eukaryota; Metazoa; Chordata; Mammalia; Rodentia; Bathyergidae.
GCAAAAAUUCCCCUGACAGGGAGUACUUUUAAAUUUCAAAUCCUUUAGGGGAUAAUUGGCCAGACUGCUCGGCAGGAGCCACAGCAAAAUCCAAGCAGGCAGCUGUGGGACUGCUAUAGCCGGCCCUUUGCUCGGGCCUUUCUGAGCAGGAAGCGAGUCGCUCGCUGCCCCCGGGUGCGGGCGCGCAGGACCAGCAGCUGCCCCCAGCCACGGGCGCGCCACCUGUUUCCGCCUGGGACUUCCCCCAGCCGGCUCCGAAGUGUGGAGUCAGCAGCUUGGCCUGGCCCGGCAUCAGGGGCCCAGCGCAGCCCUACCCCACCGCCGCCUCCCGUGAGGCCCCGCCUGGAAGAGGCGUGGACUGCACCCUGGUGCGCGCGUUCUGGGCUUGGCCUUGAAAAUCAGGAUGGCGAUGACCGCUGAGCAGUGUGAAGAGUGUUCAUCCACCAGACCCUUCCACCAGGCCACCCUGCCUUGGAGCCCACCAAACAUGGACUGAAACCUCCUAAACUUUAACACAAUGGACAUAGAGCAGAAAUCAGUCAUAAAUAUUAAACUGGAUCGAACAUUCAUAGUACAAAGUAUGCUGUAAAGUGCUGAAGGUGUGUAAGUACGCAAAGCUGCCGCGGCCCAAGGUUUUCCUCAAGCCCAACAGAGAUUUGCUACGUCCACCUUUGCUUGUUUCAGGUGCAUCUGUGUUAGACAGACACUUUGUCAUUUC